RNAcentral lists this ribosomal RNA (497 nucleotides) under uncultured bacterium. RNAcentral's name for it is "partial 16S ribosomal RNA". It matches the Rfam family "Bacterial small subunit ribosomal RNA", at positions 28 to 507 of the family's 1533-position model. The record is from RNAcentral.
GAUGAACGCUGGCGGCGUGCCUAAUACAUGCAAGUCGAGCGAACGGACGAGAAGCUUGCUCCUCUGAUGUUAUCGGCGGACGGGUGCGUCACACGUGGAUAACCUACCUAUAAGACUGGGAUAACUUCGGCAAACCGGAGCUUAUAACGGAUAAUAUUUUGACCCGCAUGGUUCAAAAGUGAAAGACGGUAUUGCUUUCACUUAUAGAUGGAUCCGCACUGCAUUCACUAGUUGGUAAGGUAACGGGUUACCAAGGCAACGAUGCAUAAACGACCCGAAGGGGAGGUUGCACAGCCGGUAACAGAGGAUGGGUACAGACUCCUGCGGUGGGCAACGGUAGGGAAUCUUACGCGAGGGGCGAGAGCCUGACGGAGCAACGCCGCGUGAGUGAUGAAGGUCUUCGGAUCGUUAAACUCUGUUAGUAUGAAGGAAGAUAUGUGUAAGUAACUGUGAACAUCUUGACGGUACCGAAUCAGAAAGCCACGGCUAACUACGUG